This 669-nucleotide long non-coding RNA is filed under the name Marmota monax (woodchuck). The record is from RNAcentral. Lineage: Eukaryota; Metazoa; Chordata; Mammalia; Rodentia; Sciuridae.
GCCGGCGUGGCAGGGGCUCGCUGUGGCUAGCAGGUCUGCGAGCUUUGGGGAGUGUCUUAUCGAAACCUCACGCCGCCGUCCGCCGUUUACCAAAGAGAAAACUGAAACACAAAGAGAUUAAGUCACUUGCCCGAGGUCGCGGGAUUCGAACCCACUAACACACACAGGCACAGCGAAGCCAAGCUCUUGUGCUGGGUUUAUAUGCCUCACCCACGGAUCUCUCAAAGGGUAAGAGGUGCUGUGCAUUUGAUCCCGAAAUGCUUUUUGGAGUCCUUCACUCUUAGUGUGUGCAUUCAUUCAUUGCACAUAAACGUUUCCUGAGAUCUUGCUGUGUGCCAGAAUCUACUGUAACUGCCAGGUACUGUGCUCAGACUUACUUGAGAGCAGACCCUCCCUCUUGGCUCCGUUCAUUCAAUAACCAACAUUUCCUGAAAGUAUAUGGCCUGGGAAUCCGGAGGAGUGCUGGUAUGAGGUGGCUCUCUCCCAACCCUCAAGAUGAGGAGGAGAAAACUUCCACUUACAGAGAGGAAGGGGAGAAAUCAAGGAGUUUAACAAAAGGAGAGAAAUCUUGAGACAUAAAUUGAGCUUUGGAACUGCCUCAAACACUGCUAAAGCAAGACACAAGAGCUGGUUAAAGUAUGUAUUACCAUGGCUGACACUGUCAUCACC